This 474-nucleotide ribosomal RNA is filed under the name uncultured bacterium. Its description in RNAcentral is "bacterial SSU rRNA". It matches the Rfam family "Bacterial small subunit ribosomal RNA", at positions 62 to 524 of the family's 1533-position model. The record is from RNAcentral.
UCGAGCGGCAGCACAAGUGAGUUUUACUCAUGAGGUGGCGAGCGACGGACGGGUGAGUAAUGCCCAGGGAUCUGCCCAGUCGUGGGGGAUAACAGUUGGAAACGACUGCUAAUACCGCAUACGCCCUACGGGGGAAAGGAGGGGACCUUCGGGCCUUCCGCGAUUGGAUAAACCUAGGUGGGAUUAGCUAGUUGGUGAGGUAAUGGCUCACCAAGGCGACGAUCCCUAGCUGUUCUGAGAGGAUGAUCAGCCACACUGGAACUGAGACACGGUCCAGACUCCUACGGGAGGCAGCAGUGGGGAAUAUUGGACAAUGGGCGCAAGCCUGAUCCAGCCAUACCGCGUGGGUGAAGAAGGCCUUCGGGUUGUAAAGCCCUUUUGUUGGGAAAGAAAUCCAGCCGGCUAAUACCUGGUUGGGAUGACGGUACCCAAAGAAUAAGCACCGGCUAACUUCGUGCCAGCAGCCGCGGUAAU